UGCGGAUUUUGGACAGUUUUGUUGCCACAUAAAAUGGGAGAACACUCUGCACAAUGAUGCCCUUGCUCUUGUAUUCUGCAUGGAGGCCUCGAGAGAAGUAAUCCACAAAAGCCUUGGUUGCAGAGUAAAGAGUCAGCAGUGGAGUUGGAUACAUCCCAGCAGCUGAUGAGAUGUUCAAGAUUACCCCUUUUGAUCUUUCCAGCAUGCCGGGCAGCACCAAUCGUGUCAUCUUACAAACAGACAUGAUAUUAAUGUUGAUCAUUUGGUCGAUCAUUUUAUCCAGGUCUGGAACAUCAAUAAAGUAUUCCGGAUAAGAAUAUGAAAUUCCCACGUUGUUUACCAAAACGCCGAUCUCCAGGCCUUCCAGUCCUGCUUUGAUUCUGUCGUAAAUGCCCUCUCUCUCUCCGAAGUCCGCCACAAUAACUUUUGUUUCCACUUUGUACUUCUCCUUUAUUUCACCAGCAACUUGGUCCAACUUUUCUUUUGAUCGGCUGAUUAGAGCCACUUUCAUUCCAUGUCUUGCCAACUCUUCUGCAUAGGCUUUUCCAAUCCCAUCAGUAGCUCCUGUGACCACUGCCCAUGCGCCCAGCUGGGGUCCCACGGCGCGGCCGCCGCCCAGCACCCAGACGCGCAGCCCGCUCAGCAGGCGGAAGGCGCACAGCACCGCCGUGUAGAGGACGCCCAACGCGCCCACCCAGUAGAACAGGCCGGCGGCCGGCAGCGCGGCGGGAGCCAACAUGCUGCCUGCGGAGGCGGCCGCGACGGGACUGAACCCUCCCGGCCACCGCCGGCCCG
RNAcentral lists this long non-coding RNA (795 nucleotides) under Gallus gallus (chicken). The record is from RNAcentral. Lineage: Eukaryota; Metazoa; Chordata; Aves; Galliformes; Phasianidae.